UCGUUUCUAACACAGAUGUUGAGGUGUUAAAAACAUAUUCACUUAAUGAUCUAUUAGUUCUAUUUGAACACGACAAACUGUUAAAGUUUCAUUGAAUUGUUAUCAUUGACUUGAAGGAACUGUAGCCGUAGUUACAAGAGACAAAAUAAGGGUAAAUAACAUACCUAAUAAGAGAAUAAUCAAUGUGUACAUCUUGAGCGGAGCGGUGGAGGUCUGUUGCUUCAUURUCGCCAUUAUGCUGCGGUAUCUACAGUCUAAAUCCCAGUGAGUACUUGCUGCAAGGAAAGAUUUUGAAAUCCUGUGAGGACGUARCUCAAAGUUAUGUCAACAUCCAUGUGGAAAGACUAUAGGGUUCACGCCUCUGUCAGAGAAUCGACCAAUCACAGACGGAAUACCUUACGUCUAUUUCCGGUUCGUUUACGUAACGUAAUCGUGAGAACGUUUUUGAAUCGCACCGGAGCACAAGUAAAACAACUGCUACUAGUAGGAAUUCUAAUGUCACGACUUGGUGUGUUUUCAAAGUCAAAWAGAAUGUUUGAUCAAAAAACACUGGGAGUCGUUAGGGCGAGAGAAGCUUUUAAAUUUUUAAUGAACCACGUAUGGCCAUGAAUAAAAAAGGCGAAGAAUGGAAGAAACUAAUCUCAACUCUAACGAACUACUUGAAAACUUACCACCCAGGGCUAUUCACAGUGAGAAAAUAGCUUAUCAAGCUCAGAGGAAAACCCUGGGUGAAAUCCUGUACUUCAAAAAUUGAUCAAAAGUACUCGCAUUGGUCCAAGUGGUUGAAUUAUAGACCUGACUUACAAGACUAAUAUUUCCUGGUUCUGAAGGGCUGAGAAUAUGGUGUAUGGAAGAUAACGCGCGCAAACUACACCCUAAAAAUCAGACGGUGAAUAUUUGAUUUCCUAGACCCAUCCGUUCUACACUGCAUUUAAUUUCCCUGUAUUCUACGCGUCGAUAAUUCCGUUAAGCUGCACACAGGCUAGUCACUUCACUUAAUUUGCAAAACUUUUUUCUAUGAUAUUUGUAAUAUUUCGACGUAAAAUCAAACUAAAAUCAAACUUCUUUUCAAUAAUAUUAAGUACUGACCAAUCAAUAGAUUAGUAAAAAUAGUAUUCUUUGCUAUGUAUCUUAUUAUUAGCAGCAAUAAGGUUAUUAUUKUUUUAGCUACAUAAAUACUAGGCCAUUAGUAGAAGUCAACCGGCUUGAAUUAAAAGAACAGAUGUACAAGUAUCCAUAUGCAACGUUGUACAUUGUUACAUCACUUUUAUCAUUAAUUCUCUCAUCACUGAGUUGGCAGUCUUUCAAAAAGACUGCGACAUGUGAUAUUAUAUCAACAGCUGAAUAACACAGUUAAGGCCGACUAUAAAUAAAAACKUGUUAAUAACUA
Molecule: long non-coding RNA, 1390 nt
Organism: Exaiptasia diaphana
Lineage: Eukaryota; Metazoa; Cnidaria; Anthozoa; Actiniaria; Aiptasiidae
Exons: 2
Source: RefSeq, a predicted model, not a curated record